CAGGACAAAGUAACAUCUUUACCAUGUUGUGUCUUCUAAUCCAUGAACAUGGUAUGUCUAUUUAUUUAGGUCUUCUUUGAUUUCUUUAAUCAGUGUUUUGUAGUUUUUAGCACACUGAUCUUAUAUAUGUUUAGUUAGAUUUUAGACCUAAUAUAUCCCCCCUUUUUCGAACUCCAGUUGGCCCUUGAACAAGGCAGGGGUUAGGAGCACCCACCUGCCUCACAGUCAGAAAUCCAUAUAGAACUUAUAGUUGGCCCUCUGGAAUAGAAGCAGUUUCUUAUUUUCAUGGUUCAGCAUUGAUUCAACCGACCUUGAAUCACAUGGUAAGGUAGUAUUUACCACUGAAAAAAAUAAAAAUAAGUGGACCUGCCCAGUUCAAACCAGUAUUGUUCAAGAGCCAACUGAAAUGCAAUGAUGAGGGGGGACACACUCAACUUGAUCCCCAUCUUAAGGGAAAGCAUUCAGUCUUUCACUGUGAAGUAUGACAUUAGUUGCCACUUUUUGUAAUUGUUUUACUUUUUGACAUCUCUCUUCUCCACCAAGAUGUUUGCUCCAUGAGAGCAGGCUCUCUCUGCUCUCAACUCUACUGCCAGUACCUGGCACAGUGCCAGGCACACAGUAGGCCUUCAAUAAGUAACUCUAUUUUGGUAACUUAGCCAGCCAUAAUCACUGUCCUGUGACAGACAACAGCGGGACUUGGCUGAACAUGCACAGACAUUGCGAGGAAUAAUGUUACAAUAAAUAUCCCAACGGAUCCAACUAGGCAGUGGCCCCAUAGCGUUGACUAUUUUAAGCUGUGGAGCAUCUGUAGAUCAGCUUUCUAGCAAGCCAUACUAUGUCAAAGCACUUAUCUAUGAGGAAUACAUGACUGCAGGAAAAUAAUUAUUUUCAAUGGAGAGCAUUCCAUUCCCCAAGGGAAUUUAAACAAAAAGCUCUCAACUUGGAAAAACAGGGGCUUCAGGGUAAAGAGUCCCACUGCUCUGAAAUCUCAGGCCCUCAGACGGGUGGGGUUGUUUCGCUAAAUUUAUUUCAGCCGCUUAUAGAAACAGAAGGAGGGGGGUGCUGCUUGCACACCAGCCCUAGCUCUGGAGUAUUAAUAUCUGCUGGGUCAGGCUUUUAUUUGGGUUUUGUUUUACCUUUGGGGGGGGGCGGUUGGGGAAGCAGGCAGGCAGCAGGACUAUCUGAGCUGUGGUUUCCUACCUCCCUUUCUCUCUGUACUCGCCCCCCACCCGCCCCCACCUCCCCUGCUACCAUAGGAUGGUAGUACUGAGUAGCCCACUGAGUACCAAGCCCUGAGUCAGGCCUUUUAUCUUGGACAGCAGGAUUCUGCCUCGUCUCAGCAGGGGUCUGAGCUCAAGAGAAACACUGGAUCUACUCAUUUGCUUUCUGAAACGAGUAUGAGUGUAGGAAGAGGCUGGGCUCCCAUCGGAACCCCCUACCCAUUCCUACACCGGUACCCGCAGUGGCUCCACUACCUGAUGAAAUCCAGGCCUUUUCGUCCCCGUCUUCCUUCUCCUCAGCCUUCCCGGGCUUCGAGCACAACUUCUUAACAUCUGAUAGCUGAGCCAUCUCUUCUGUCACACACACACACCCAUACGUAGAAAAAGGAGUUAAAUGAAACCACCCAGCUGCUUUUUACAACCUGUUCUUGCUGCACUUGGAAUGCUCUCUGGAGCUCAGGUUAAUUACCUCCCACAGACGUUGGGAGAAACAAGGCACAGGAAAGGAGGUGGCAGAAGACGAACUGAGAUGAGUGUCCACUGGCUGGCUCUCGAAGGUUCCACAAAACCCAAAAAGACCCAAAAAAGACAGCUGUCUGCAGUGAAGAAGAGGAAACACACACACACACACACACACACACACACACACACACGGAAGCUAAAAAAUCUGCUGGGCUUAAGACUUGAAUAAUUACAUGAGAAUAUGGGGAAGUACCUCACACAAUACCAGGCCCGUGAGAACCCAACAAAUGGCAGUUUGAUUCCUUGGCCAACUCCUGCUUCCUGGGUCACCAAGGAAAUAAGGGAAGAGGCAUCUAUCCUCUCCACUCCCAGGCCCCAGGAAGAGUCGUGGGAGGGAGGGUGGCCUGGGGCAGGAGCUGGGGAGGAGCCCAGCAUGAAGAUUCUCCAGCUCUAAAGUAGGGGAUCUGCUUCAGGGAGGAGCAAGGGUAGAGCACGUGCUUGCAAAGUGUAAAGUGCUUGCAAAUACACUAAGUUCCUGUUUUGUCCUAGCACCCGCCAGCUUGCUUUGCAAUUGUCCUCCAGCCCUCUCUUGCAAAACCCAGCUCAGAGAGGGCAGUUCCCACCCUGGGGAGCUAUUCCUUUGAGAAGCAGGACCCCCGUCCCUGCCAGAGCAGGGAUCAGACAGCUCCUGGAGGGCUGCCACGUAGACAGCGGGCAGAGGAGAGUAUGGAUCUUUGCCACAGGCCUGUGGCUUCUUUAAAGUUGAGUUUCUCCCGCCAACUGCACCCUCCACCCCCGAGGGGACCUUGGGCCCCCAAACCAGGCCUGCCCUUGUCUGACCAAAGGCAACUAGAUCUGCUGCAGCUGUUCAGUAAGAGAACAAGCUCUCCCAGAGACCAGGGAAGCAGCUGGAGAAAGAUUCCUGCCAGCCCGGGGGUGUAAAUAUUUAUACAACGUGGUGCGUGGGAAGGGGGAAGGCAGAGGGAGGUGGCAGGAACGAGGCGGCACUGAGACCGCAGAUUGAAGGCGUGUGUGCUUGGGGCCCAGGUGGGAAGGGCAAGAGGCUGCUGGAUCCUGAUCUCCACCUGAAUUCCUACAUCAGAGAGGCCGGGUCUGGUGUUCCUGUCGUGGCACAGCGGAAACGAAUCCGACCACGAACCAUGAAGUUGCGGGUUCGAUCCAUGGCCUCGAUCAGUGGGUUAAGGAUCACAGCUCUGGUAUUGCUGUGAGCUGAUGUGUGGGUUGAAGAUGCGGCUCAGAUAUGACGUGGCUGUGGCUCUGGUAUAGGCUGGCAGCUGCAGCUCCGAUUGGACCCCUAGCCUGGGAAUCUCCAUAUGCCGCAGGUGUGGCC
RNAcentral lists this long non-coding RNA (3033 nucleotides) under Sus scrofa (pig). RNAcentral describes it as "lncRNA (ENSSSCG00000054710.1)". The record is from RNAcentral. Lineage: Eukaryota; Metazoa; Chordata; Mammalia; Artiodactyla; Suidae.